This 443-nucleotide ribosomal RNA is filed under the name uncultured bacterium. Its description in RNAcentral is "partial 16S ribosomal RNA". It matches the Rfam family "Bacterial small subunit ribosomal RNA", at positions 338 to 795 of the family's 1533-position model. The record is from RNAcentral.
CCUACGGGUGGCAGCAGUGGGGGAUAUUGGACAAUGGGGGAAACCCUGAUCCAGCGACGCCGCGUGAGUGAAGAAGUAUUUCGGUAUGUAAAGCUCUAUCAGCAGGGAAGAAAGAAAUGACGGUACCUGAGUAAGAAGCCCCGGCUAACUACGUGCCAGCAGCCGCGGUAAUACGUAGGGGGCAAGCGUUAUCCGGAAUUACUGGGUGUAAAGGGAGCGUAGACGGUAAUGCAAGUCUGGAGUGAAAGGCGGGGGCUCAACCCCCGGACUGCUCUGGAAACUGUGUAACUGGAGUGCAGGAGAGGCAGGCGGAAUUCCUAGUGUAGCGGUGAAAUGCGUAGAUAUUAGGAGGAACACCAGUGGCGAAGGCGACCUGCUGGACUGUAACUGACGUUGAGGCGCGAAAGCGUGGGGAGCAAACAGGAUUAGAUACCCGAGUAGUC